RNAcentral lists this ribosomal RNA (439 nucleotides) under uncultured bacterium. RNAcentral's name for it is "partial 16S ribosomal RNA". It matches the Rfam family "Bacterial small subunit ribosomal RNA", at positions 339 to 795 of the family's 1533-position model. The record is from RNAcentral.
CUACGUGGGGCAGCAGUGGGGAAUAUUGGACAAUGGGCGAAAGCCUGAUCCAGCAAUGCCGCGUGAGUGAUGAAGGCCUUAGGGUUGUAAAGCUCUUUUACUGGGGAUGAUAAUGACAGUACCCAGAGAAUAAGCUCCGGCUAACUCCGUGCCAGCAGCCGCGGUAAUACGGAGGGAGCUAGCGUUGUUCGGAAUUACUGGGCGUAAAGCGCGCGUAGGCGGCUUAUCAAGUCAGGGGUGAAAUCCCGGGGCUCAACCCCGGAACUGCCUCUGAAACUGGUAGACUAGAAUACUGGAGAGGGGAGUGGAAUUCCGAGUGUAGAGGUGAAAUUCGUAGAUAUUCGGAAGAACACCAGUGGCGAAGGCGACUCGCUGGACAGUUAUUGACGCUGAGGUGCGAAAGCGUGGGGAGCAAACAGGAUUAGAUACCCCCGUAGUC